This 433-nucleotide ribosomal RNA is filed under the name uncultured bacterium. Its description in RNAcentral is "partial 16S ribosomal RNA". It matches the Rfam family "Bacterial small subunit ribosomal RNA", at positions 29 to 507 of the family's 1533-position model. The record is from RNAcentral.
AACGAACGCUGGCGGCAUGCCUAACACAUGCAAGUCGAACGACACCUUCGGGUCUAGUGGCGCACGGGUGCGUAACGCGUGGGAACCUGCCCUUAGGUUCGGAAUAACUCCCCGAAAGGGGUGCUAAUACCGGCUAAUGUCUUCGGACCAAAGAUUUAUCGCCUUUGGAUGUGCCCGCGUUGGAUUAGCUAGUUGGUAGGGUAAAAGCCUACCAAGGCGACGAUCCAUAGCUGGUCUGAGAGGAUGGUCAGCCACACUGGGACUGAGACACGGCCCAGACUCCUACGGAAAGCAGCAGUGGGGAAUAGUGGACCGUGGGCGGAGUCAUGAACCAGCUAUGACGGGUGAGUGAUGAAGGCCGUAGGGUUGUAAAGCUCUUUUACCCGGGAUGAUAAUGACAGUACCGGGAGAAUAAGCUCCGGCUAACUCCGUG